UACGUAGGUGGCGAGCGUUGUCCGGAUUUACUGGGCGUAAGGGGAGCGUAGGCGGACUUUUAAGUGAGAUGUGAAAUACCCGGGCUCAACUUGGGUGCUGCAUUUCAAACUGGAAGUCUAGAGUGCGGGAGAGGAGAAUGGAAUUCCUAGUGUAGCGGUGAAAUGCGUAGAGAUUAGGAAGAACACCAGUGGCGAAGGCGAUUCUCUGGACUGUAACUGACGCUGAGGCUCGAAAGCGUGGGGAGCAAACAGGAUUAGAUACCCUGGUA
Molecule: ribosomal RNA, 269 nt
Filed under: uncultured prokaryote
Description: partial 16S ribosomal RNA
Rfam family: Bacterial small subunit ribosomal RNA
Source: RNAcentral